UAGGGAAUCUUCGGCAAUGGGGGGAACCCUGACCGAGAAACGCCGCGUGAGUGAAGAAGGUUUUCGGAUCGUAAAGCUCUGUUGUUAAGGAAGAACGAGUGUGAGAAUGGAAAGUUCAUACUGUGACGGUACUUAACCAGAAAGGGACGGCUAACUACGUGCCAGCAGCCGCGGUAAUACGUAGGUCCCGAGCGUUGUCCGGAUUUAUUGGGCGUAAAGCGAGCGCAGGCGGUUAGAUAAGUCUGAAGUUAAAGGCAGUGGCUCAACCAUUGUAGGCUUUGGAAACUGUUUAACUUGAGUGCAGAAGGGGAGAGUGGAAUUCCAUGUGUAGCGGUGAAAUGCGUAGAUAUAUGGAGGAACACCGGUGGCGAAAGCGGCUCUCUGGUCUGUAACUGACGCUGAGGCUCGAAAGCGUGGGGAGCGAACAGG
Molecule: ribosomal RNA, 429 nt
Filed under: Bacteroidota bacterium
Lineage: Bacteria; Pseudomonadati; Bacteroidota
Description: Bacteroidetes bacterium partial 16S ribosomal RNA
Rfam family: Bacterial small subunit ribosomal RNA
Source: RNAcentral